GGGCUGGGGCUCAGCGGUAGAGCACUUGCCUAGCACGUGCGGGGCCCUGGGUUAGAUCCUCAGCACCACA
RNAcentral lists this transfer RNA (70 nucleotides) under Marmota monax (woodchuck). RNAcentral's name for it is "tRNA.Ala". Lineage: Eukaryota; Metazoa; Chordata; Mammalia; Rodentia; Sciuridae. The record is from RNAcentral.